CUGGUUGAUCCUGCCAGUAGUCAUAUGCUUGUCUCAAAGAUUAAGCCAUGCAUGUCCAAGUACAAGCCUCACUAAGGUGAAACCGCGAAUGGCUCAUUAAAUCACACCUAAUCUACUGGAUAGUUAACAGGUACUUGGAUACCUGCGGUAAUUCUGGAGCUAAUACAUGCGAAAAGCCUCGAACUUACGUGAGAGGUGCUUUUAUUAGAUCAAAACCAAUCGGCUUCGGCUGUACUCUUGGUGACUCUGAAUAACUUUGGGCUGAUCGUAUAGCCUUGCGCUGACGACAUAUCCUUCGAAGGUGUGCCCUAUCAACUGUCGACUGUGGCAUAGACGCCCACAGUGGUUUUGACGGGUAACGGGGAAUCAGGGUUCGAUUCCGGAGAGGGAGCCUUAAAAACGGCUACCACAUCUAAGGAAGGCAGCAGGCACGCAAAUUACCCAAUGAUCGAAGAUCGAGGUAGUGACGAAAAAUAACGAUCCAGGACUCAUCCGAGGCCCUGGAAUCGGAAUGAGUACACUUUAAAACCGUCCCCGAGGAUCUAUUGGAGGGCAAGUCUGG
This 562-nucleotide ribosomal RNA is filed under the name uncultured eukaryote. Its description in RNAcentral is "SSU rRNA". It matches the Rfam family "Eukaryotic small subunit ribosomal RNA", at positions 4 to 564 of the family's 1831-position model. The record is from RNAcentral.